CCCAGGGACCCUUUCCCAUGCCUAUCUUCAUCUCAGCAGCUGCUUCCUGGUGAACCUGACCUGAUGAGCAGGUGCAUCCAGAUUACAAAGCAAAAAACUGAUGCCCCUGGGAGAACUCACGCCCCGUCUUGGACCUAGUGCCUGGCAUAAAUCACAAGGACUGACUGAACGGACUGAGCCCAUCCUGCUGCAGAUAAAACACCUCUUCUCAAGGCUUGAGGAUCUAAGAUAAGAAGAAAAGGGGGACUUCCCUGGCAGUCCAGAGGUGAAGACUUCAUCUCCAAUGCAACGUGUGCAGCUUCAGUCCCUGGUCAGAGAGCUAAGAUCCCACACGCCUCAUGCCCAAAAAAUCAAAAUGUAAAACAGACGGGAUAUUGUAACAGAUUCAAUAAAGACUUCAAAAAUG
Molecule: long non-coding RNA, 406 nt
Organism: Bos taurus (domestic cattle)
Lineage: Eukaryota; Metazoa; Chordata; Mammalia; Artiodactyla; Bovidae
Source: Ensembl